GACGAACGCUGGCGGCGUGCUUAACACAUGCAAGUCGAACGGAAAGGCCCUGCUUUUGUGGGGUGCUCGAGUGGCGAACGGGUGAGUAACACGUGAGUAACCUGCCCUUGACUUUGGGAUAACUUCAGGAAACUGGGGCUAAUACCGGAAAGGACUUCUUGCUGCAUGUGGGGGGUUGGAAAGUUUCGGCGGUUGGGGAUGGACUCGCGGCUUAUCAGCUUGUUGGUGGGGUAGGGGCUUACCAAGGCUUUGACGGGUAGCCGGCCUGAGAGGGUGACCGGCCACAUUGGGACUGAGAUACGGCCCAGACUCCUACGGGAGGCAGCAGUGGGGAAUAUUGCACAAUGGGCGGAAGCCUGAUGCAGCAACGCCGCGUGCGGGAUGACGGCCUUCGGGUUGUAAACCGCUUUCGCCUGUGACGAAGCGUGAGUGACGGUAAUGGGUAAAGAAGCACCGGCUAACUACGUG
Molecule: ribosomal RNA, 468 nt
Filed under: uncultured bacterium
Lineage: Bacteria
Description: partial 16S ribosomal RNA
Rfam family: Bacterial small subunit ribosomal RNA
Source: RNAcentral